Non-coding RNA from Oryctolagus cuniculus (rabbit), 1783 nucleotides. The record is from RefSeq and is a predicted model, not a curated record. Lineage: Eukaryota; Metazoa; Chordata; Mammalia; Lagomorpha; Leporidae.
GCCACAGGCUUAUUCCUGGCUUUCUUCCAAGGAGCUGGAACACUGGCUUCCCCAGGCAGUCGGCUGCAGCCGUCCUGAGAAGUGGGGUGUGGGGCCCUGCGUGCUGAAGGCCCAGAGCUCCCCCCGCGCCCUGGUCUCGUUCCUGGCUUGGCUCUGGCUCCCAUGACUCCAGGGUCUGCUCCAAUUUAGAGUCCCCCAGGACCUUAUUUCCAACAGGAUGGACAAGCAAAGGCAAGGAGUGGCUUCGUCAGGGCGCAAGGUGAGGAAGCAAUCCUGGCCACCAGCAUGGAGGGAGCACCCCGGCGUGUGGGAGCACGAGAGAGGUCAGGCAGCGCCACUUCUUGCUGUGAGUCCAGGGAUGUGAACGGAGCCAGAAGCAAAAAGGAAGCAGCGGUCUGUGAUGGGCCAGCAGUCCAAGGAAAACAGGUUUUGGCUCAGCCCUGUCCAUGAGCUCAGUGUUGAACGGACUCCACUGAACUGAGAGCGAGCUGGAACCAGACGCCAAGGCGUCUCAGCAGAGAGGCUGCACCCGGCUUCUGGCCAUCGGGAAUGGAGACCACUGGAGCGGGGGCCGCGGGGCCGGCUGGCCAGGUGUGCCUGGCACAGGUUCCCACCUGAAGCCAGAGGCUCAUCGCCACGUGGCAGCCAAGGCCUCAGAAACACACAGCCACGCUGUGUGUUCCAGACAAUUCUAUCCAAGCCCAAAGGCGCCCGGAGGGGUCCAGCAGAAGGGGCUGCACACAUCCUCCCUGGAAAGGGCCUACCUCGGGGCCCAGGAACAGCCACCAGAAAUGGUGGCCUGCCAGCCCUGGUGGGCCGCUUGGCGGAGAGAGAUGCCGGGCUCCCCAGGGACCCCGGGGACCCCCUGGUGAGCUCCGCGUACCACAGGUCUCAGCGUUCUCGUAGAGAAACAUUUUCUGCUUGGUAACGUGUGUUACGCACACUUUCUACUUGAAACUGUACCAAGCCCAGAAUAAAUAAAAAACACAAUUCGAGCUAAUUACACUGAAUUUUGAAUUAUUUCCCCAGCUCUUUCCGGUCUGUAGUGUGAAACUGUUUCAUGUGGUAAAACACUCGAAUGUGUAACGGGCUCUAAGGCCUGUAGUAAUGGAUUCAAGAUACUGUACUUGUCACCUAUACAGAGAUACAACUCUUCUGGCGCUGCGGCCUAGACGGUUAAGUCUCCACCAGCAGCGCCGGCAUCCCAUAUGGGCACCAGUUCCCCGGCUGCUCCCCUUCCGAUCCAGCUCUCCGCUGUGGCCUGGGAAAGCAGCAGAGGAUGGCCAAGUCCUUGGGCCCCUGCACCUGCGUGGGAGACCUGGAGGAGGCUCCAGGCUUCAGAUGGGCCCAGCCCUGGCUUUUGUGGCCAUCUGGGGAGUGAACCAGUGGAUGGAAGAUUCUCUCUCUCUCCCUGCCACUCCUUCUCUGUAGCUGACUUUCAAAUAAAUAAAUCUGAGAGAGAGAGAGGCGCCCAUGCUUUGGGAAUGGCACGGUUAUUCACGGUCUGCGACUUCUUCAUUUAAUGUUCUGUCCGUGCGGGCUGAGAAAACGUCCGCUUCAGACGAUACCACGACGGGCGCAGGCCCCCGGCUGCUGGACCCGCAGGCCAGGGAAGGCCACGGCGGGCGGCUGAGGCGACGCUGGGGCUGCGGUCUGCGCUCGGUACUGGCCCGCACGCCGGGCUGCGGGGUGAGGAGGACGCGGAGCCGGCGCCCGGGCUGCUGCUGCCGGGCUGGCCGGUCCGGCCGGAGCGCUGCCCGCCGGGCUAAAGCCAGAGGGGCUU